RNAcentral lists this long non-coding RNA (501 nucleotides) under Rattus norvegicus (Norway rat). Its description in RNAcentral is "long non-coding RNA NONRATT026779". Lineage: Eukaryota; Metazoa; Chordata; Mammalia; Rodentia; Muridae. The record is from RNAcentral.
UACUCUGCAGAAGACAGCAUUCUACCCAAGAGACAUAGAGUUUCCUGAACGCAUGAGUGAGGGAGCAGGCUAUGCACCCGAGGACAAAGCAGCACACUGUUCGGUCAGAAAGCCGCGCAAGUCGGGAGCCAGUCUGGAGCAAGAGUGAAGGAGACAGGUCCAAAGCCGGAAAACCUCAUCAUCAUCUCAGCAGGCGGGAGGAGGACCGUUCCCUCCUUGCUCUGGGCCUGCACGUCCUGGCCCACCCAGCCUGAAUGAUCCCCACCGCUGCCACCCUUGAGGAGGUCCUGUAGCCUGGUGGCCAAAUUACAGGUUUAACUUCCUCUUUCCCUAUAAGGGCAUGUCCAGCAAGUACCUGUAAUUCCUUUUCCUGCAAAUGAAGCGUUCAGGCACCUCAGCCCUAGCCAAUGAUACACACUCACCCGGAAAACCCCUAACCACUCCCCAAGGUUUAUGUAGCCCUUAUUCACCCCCUAAUAAACAGAUCUGUUUCUCUGGAAA